GUCCACGCUGUAAACGAUGUCGAUUUGGAGGUUGUGGGCAUGACCCGUGGCUUCCGGAGCUAACGCGUUAAAUCGACCGCCUGGGGAGUACGGCCGCAAGGUUAAAACUCAAAUGAAUUGACGGGGGCCCGCACAAGCGGUGGAGCAUGUGGUUUAAUUCGAUGCAACGCGAAGAACCUUACCUACUCUUGACAUCCAGAGAAUUUUAGCAGAGAUGCUUUAGUGCCUUCGGGAACUCUGAGACAGGUCCUGCAUGGCUGUCGU
Molecule: ribosomal RNA, 264 nt
Filed under: uncultured bacterium
Lineage: Bacteria
Description: partial 16S ribosomal RNA
Rfam family: Bacterial small subunit ribosomal RNA
Source: RNAcentral